GGAUCAGAGACCAGGAAGUUCCAAUGCUCCAAAAUUCACUCGAAGACUUGAUCACAUCAUUAGUGUUGAGAGAAUCAUAAGCAGCUGCCAGAGAUUGUGUUCAGAGCCAGACCGUGGUAUCUCAUGCCCACCUCAAAAGAAAAGAAAAAGGAAAAAAUCAUGGUAAUCCUGGGGUGCAACUGGCUCUCCUUUUAGACUCUAACUCAAGCUGCUACAUAAUGUGGUCUUGCAAUUCCUUGGCUUGAGAAGUAGGUCCUGCAAAGUUAAACUGGAUGGCAUAAAACAUGCCUUAGUGAUGGAGUCAACCUUUGUCUGGAAGAAUCUGGAGUUACCAAAGGCAGAAGCAUGGCAAAAUUCUCACUGAAGAGCUGAUGAGUGUCUCUCUUGGCAAUUUUCCUGGUGGGC
RNAcentral lists this long non-coding RNA (405 nucleotides) under Homo sapiens (human). RNAcentral describes it as "HSALNT0069710". The record is from RNAcentral. Lineage: Eukaryota; Metazoa; Chordata; Mammalia; Primates; Hominidae.